This 399-nucleotide ribosomal RNA is filed under the name uncultured bacterium. RNAcentral's name for it is "bacterial SSU rRNA". It matches the Rfam family "Bacterial small subunit ribosomal RNA", at positions 362 to 776 of the family's 1533-position model. The record is from RNAcentral.
UAUUGGACAAUGGGGGGAACCCUGAUCCAGCGACGCCGCGUGAGUGAAGAAGUAUUUCGGUAUGUAAAGCUCUGUCAGCAGGGAAGAAAUCACGACGGUACCUGACCAAGAAGCCCCGGCUAACUACGUGCCCGCAGCCGCGGUAAUACGUAGGGGGCAAGCGCUAUCCGGAAUUACUGGGUGUAAAGGGAGCGUAGACGGUUAAGUAAGUCUGGAGUGAAAGGCUGGGGCCCAACCCCGGGACUGCUCUGGAAACUAUUUAACUUGAGUGCAGGAGAGGUAAGCUGAAUUCCUAGUGUAGCGGUGAAAUGCGUAGAUAUUAGGAGGAACACCAGUGGCGAAGGCGGCUUACUGGACUGUAACUGACGUUGAGGCUCGAAAGCGUGGGGAGCAAACAGG